This is a small nucleolar RNA of Suncus etruscus (white-toothed pygmy shrew), 132 nucleotides long. RefSeq annotates it as small nucleolar RNA SNORA9. The transcript has a single exon. NCBI's taxonomy places the organism in Eukaryota, Metazoa, Chordata, Mammalia, Eulipotyphla, Soricidae. The record is from RefSeq and is a predicted model, not a curated record.
CUGUGAGCCUCCAGCAUGCUUAAGUCUGGAGUGACCAUGUGCAUUCCUAUAGUGCUUACAAGAACAUUAUGAAAUGGCUUGAGGCCUUGCCCUGCUCCAUCUAGAACAAAGUUAUAAAAAUUUCAGACAAUU